This 83-nucleotide transfer RNA is filed under the name Alligator mississippiensis (American alligator). Its description in RNAcentral is "tRNA-Leu (TAA) (tRNA-Leu-TAA-7-1)". It matches the Rfam family "tRNA". From Rfam's summary of the family: Transfer RNA (tRNA) molecules are approximately 80 nucleotides in length. Lineage: Eukaryota; Metazoa; Chordata; Crocodylia; Alligatoridae. The record is from Rfam by way of RNAcentral.
ACCAGGAUGGCCGAGUGGUUAAGGUGUUGGACUUAAGAUCCAAUGGAUGUAUAUCCCUGUGGGUUCAAACCCCACUCCUGGUA